Molecule: long non-coding RNA, 6850 nt
Organism: Manis javanica (Malayan pangolin)
Lineage: Eukaryota; Metazoa; Chordata; Mammalia; Pholidota; Manidae
Source: RefSeq, a predicted model, not a curated record
CGUUGAAACACAUGAAAUAAAUAUUAUGUGAUUGCCUAAUAUCUUUUUCUCAUAACUGAAAAGUGGGUUCAGAACAAACUCUCUGAUUUCUAUUUUCAUGGGUCACUACUGCAAAGGUUUAACAGCUGGGAGAUACUCUGGCAUUUUACAACACUGGAAUGCUGGGAUUUUAUUUUCCUAAGUUCAUAACUGCAAUGGAUUGUUUACAUGUUAGUACACAAAAUCAUACUCUUCAACUAGAAAGCAAUAGUGAAAUUUUCUAUAGAAUAGAUUAAAAAGCUAAAAUGGAGAAGGGAUAUAAUUAUUCUAAGAGCUCAUAAUGGUAAAUUAAGUAUAUAACAUAUGAAUAUUCUUACUUUUACCACUUAUUGUAAAAGAUGUACAGUAAUUUCAAUUCUAUUUUUAAGAUCUGAAAAUAUAAUACAACUGAUACAUUUAUUAGUUGCUAAGUCACACACCAGUUCACACAAAACUCAUGCACUCAAGAGGCCAGUGUGUUAGUGGUGAAAGAACAAAGGCAAAUACCGGGUUUUAAUAAUAAAUUAGUAAACAUGCAAGCAGUAAGGAGUGCAGAGUUCCAGCCAACAGAGUCUGAUGAGAACAUACAAAAAUGGUUUGAUUAGUCCCUACAAUCAGCAUCUCUGUGUAGGAGAAGAUACUAUGCCACAGAAGUAAAUCUUGAUAACAUAUAGGGUAUACUUGUCAUGCCAAUAAGGUGGCUAUACUUUGGAAUUUUACUGAAAGCUAAAUAAAACACAAGAACCCUUCCUAUUUGGAUAACGUGUCACCUUCAUCAUGGAGCUAUUCCAUAUGAAAGAUAUAUGUAUGCUAUGGUGUAUUAUGCUGUUCUUGUUUGAUUCUGCAUGUGCAGUGGUAAUAUUUGCGACUAAGUUGAGCACACUUGGAAGAGCCCUCAUUUGCUAUCUUGUCUUUUAAGUGAAAAAAAAAGACAAAUGAGUUUUUCCACUCAUCGUAUCAAUGGGAAACAGAUGUGAUCAUUCAGCAGUAACUACCCUUUCACAAAUAUUAACACUACAUACCCAUGACUUCUCAAUUCCUGGUACAAUGUGGUUAGGUCCCACCUACACUGGUUAUAGGUCACAUUAGACACAAGUAUUUAUUUCAGCAGGACAUACCUCAUCUGUAUGAGUGACUGACAGCCUGGGAGUUGUAGAGUUGGGGGUGGGGGGCAUGGAGGGAGGGGAGACCCUGCCUGCAGUCCAUGCAACAGCAAAAAGAUGUCUUUAUGCUCAAUUAUUUUAAAUUUUGGUUCUCAUCCACGUUAUCCUUUGCUCUAGGUCCUCUGUAGUUUUCAGAUAGGUUUCCGUUUUAUGGACACAGAAUUCAAGCAAGGUUUGAAAAUAUUUUUCCCACAAACCCUGAGAUCCAAGUGAACAUUCUUGCUUGGUUUUAAGAACUGGGAAUGACUGAAUUCACUUUAAAUCUGUAACUCCUAAUGUUUCCUCUGUUUUGGGGAAACAUCCAGGAUCACUUUUUAGUGUGAACACUUAAGCAUAUUAUGGCUGUUUGACUUCUUUUGUGUUAAUGCUUUCCACUGUGGGGCAGAUGGGUGGAACUAAGGACAUUCGUAAUUCAAUCCCCUAAAGUACUAUUAAAGCAAUGUACUACUGCACACUUUUCUAACUUGGCAAUUAAUGAUUUUUUUAACUUUCAGAAAACAUUUCAAAUAGGACUAUGAUAUUUAGGAAAUAAAUUCAGCAUGCAUAGAAUGCAGACAAAUGUUCAUAUUUAGAUAUUAAAUACAUAUUUCUAAAAGCAAAAGGUUAUCAAACUGAGUUCAGAUUUUUAGCCUCAUCACUACUGAGAUAUCCAGUUCAGGAAAGCUAGCCAGGUACACAAACAACUCAAUCCUUGCUUUAGGGGGGUUAUGCAAAAUGAGCUUUAUUUUUAACUUCUUUUUAAUUUGCUGCAGUGCUUAUCUGUCUAUAGCUUAAGUUGUUAGGGUAGAGCUUCACAGUCAUGACAGCCAUUCACUUGGCCAUGGGUGCAGAGGACAAGCUUUGCACACAUACAAGGCCAUUCCAGUGAGGUGUGCUCAGAGUCUGGUCUUCUCCUCGAAUAUCUUUCCAUGGCCAAAGCCAAUAAUGAAUGAAAAUGAAAAUGAGAUAAGAGUCUUAAGAACCCCAAAGAAAUUGUGUGUAUGUUAACUUCUCACACUAGUUAACUGACACUUCGGACUGUGAGAGGAUGAGAAGCCAAGCAAGACAGUUUUAGGAGGGGCGAGGGGUCCUGGAGGUUGGGAGGUGUGUGACAGCCUGAAGGGAUUAUCUGGGGGGUGCCAGAGCAGGAGUCAGAAUAAGAGAACAAGGCAGAGUCGGUCAGUUUAGGGAAAAUAAAAAGGCUCAAAAUCUCUCAUAAAUGGCUAAGAGACAUUUGUUCAAAACUCUCACCAGGCUCUUUUCUGACCCAGGCUCCCUGCCUGUCAGUCCCAAUCCGGCGUUCACUGAGAGGCAGGCACUUACAAAGGAGUCUGGACAAAUAGUAGCCACUCUCAGGACUGCAUUUUUUAAAACCGUAAUAGCCAUAAAUGUACUGUUAAGAACUGAAGGCGUGUCUGUGUGUCAAUGGCUUGUGGUGUAUCCUGGGGCUCCAUCAGACCACCCGGGCUUGCCUCUUGCAGCUAGGCUCACAAGGCCAAUCUCGAUUCCAUUCUGCCCCCCAGAACAGGCUAAAACCAGUCCAGUCACACACAAGGGACAAAGACCCACCCUUAUUCAUUGGUUAUCUUCAGACGUGAAUUUUAGAGUAGGCUAGCCCUGCAGGAGUCCUAAAGUAGCCCGGGAUAGGAGUUCAGCCCCCUUUAUGCACCCUGCCGCUUCUAAGUCACUACUGUGCUAUGGAAGGGGAACAGAGUCUGGGCUUGUCUUACUAGCUGUGCUACUUUGAGUCUUUCUUUGUGCCUCAGUUCCUCCACCAUUGCAAAGGGACUAAGAAUGCCUACGGCUCAUGAUGUUGUGAGAAAUAAAGGUACACCAUAGGCGCUGAAUACAUGACAGUUAUUAUUAGUUUAUUUUCACUUAUUAUGUUUGUAUUAUCCAUAGGAUCAUGACAGUGGACUCAGAAACCACUGAUGACAUAAAUAAUCAACUAGAUAAGACCAACAAGUAAAGAUGCCUUCUAGGUGCUUGUAAAGGACCAUCACCAAGAGAACUGCCCCAGGUCCCAUGGGGAGGGGAUAAUGCUCCUGCCUGGCCCUCAGCCACCCCUUCUCAGGGACCUGAAUAUCCACUGAUAACAACGAGCUGUCAGGGUCCUAGCAGAACUGGGUAAGGGAGCACACCUGAGGCGCUCUGACAGCUCAGAAUCUUCUGACAUUUGCUUUGCUCUCUGUCGUGAUGUGGAGACUGUAUUUUAAACGCUGGACUGUAUUUUGGCCCGGUUUACUUAAGUCACAAGGUCCCACUUGCAUUUUAGAAAGAAUGCCACAAACCCCACCCCAUCAGGGUGACUGAUUAAGUGCCAUUGCUCUCAGGGGUGGUUUCGGCAGGAGAGGAAAUCCUGAGUGACCUGGUGGCAGAUGAGGCUGAUCUGUGCUUAAACCUGGGGCUGGCAAAGCAGAAGCCAAGGUUGUGGCUGCACUUCGGGCCUCCUAUGUGAGGCUAGGCAUGGAUGAGGAGUAGACAAAUUUUCUCUGUUGCAUUACAAUCAUUAUGUUAAAAGCUCUGGGGUAUCUCUACUAUUUACAACUCCCACAGAAAUUCUGUGUUGAUUUUCAUGUCUUAUCAAUAUAACCCUUAUUAAUCCAAAAAUGACAGUUGUUAUAAACCGCCACUGAAUUAUAUCUAGCUUUUAAACAUAAAUACAGGUUUUUAACAAUUAAUUCUGAACGUGACUACUCAUUGUGGGAAUGGAUAUUCAGUAUUAGAAGAGGAGAUAAGGGAACCCUCUAAAACUGUCCUGCAGCUCUGCACGUGCAACUAAGGGUGCUAAAGCAUUUCCCCAUCCAAAUUGUGUUGAGUCAUGCAGCUUCUGGGCAGACCUGGGUGCUGAUUUUAAGAAAUGCAACUCUUCUCUGGGAGACACAUACACUACUCAGCUCACCCAGGGGAGGUGAAUCAACUCUUCCGGAGUACCAUUUCACAAAUUAUUGCUACAAGAAUGCUAAGUCCACUGAGGUAUAAAAGCCUUAGUCCAUAUGGGACCAAAGUCUGUUUUGGUUGCAUGGCCAAUACAAAUUACAUCUGCCCACAAGCCUGAGGAAAGUAGAAAGAAACAGGAUUGCAGAUGAGUCAAGAUUUCAAAUAUUCAAAAUCAUCUUACCUGUCUUCCUGACGUUGGCCAUCCUGAGAGCUACAGGAAGCAGAUGGCAUAAAGAGAAAUCCAACAAAAAGGGGAGGCCUGAAGCUGGGCAGUGGUCUUGGUACCUGACCCAAGCUACCCAGAUAAAGUCUGAUAAUAUGGCUGGUGUCUCAAAUAAUCUGAAAACAAAAACACAAAGAUCAAGAGAGAGCAAAAGGAAACACAAGAACCUGUGCACUUUCUCCCAAAGAUCUGGAUCUAACCGAGGCAAAAACUGUUGGUAACAAAGUAGCAGAGAAAAAGGACAGACAGCGAUGACGAUGACGCAGCUAACGCUAACACUGAAGAGCUCCCUGCUCUAUGUAGAUAGGCUAUUCCUCAGAGCAAGAAAAACAAGAGCACACAACAAAGUGAGGGGGAUGCCAACAUAAAUGGAACAGUAAAGAGUUUCCUCUUUUUUUUUAUCAUGGGAAGCACCACAGUCUUGAUACCUAAAAUGACUCUUCAGCAGAAGCCUACUUGGAGUAUGUUAGAAAAAGCUGUGCCUCAUAGCCCCUUUGUUUUUCCCUAUAGCAACUACAGAAAAUUAUACAGAUAUAAACGAACCACAAUUUUUUCAUGUAUUAUACAUUUUUUCUAUCGUGAUAGUAAUUAUAUCUUCAUUUGAGAAGUUAGAAAAUGUAAGCAUAAAAAAAAAAUGAAAGAUAAAAAUCACUCGCAUUUCCACCACCCAUGACAAUUUACUUUUUAUAGUUUGAUGGAUAUUUUCCCUACCUUUUUCUACAGAAUUUGGUAUUUUAAACAUAGCUUUAAAUAAAUUAUAAGUAAUAUUUCAUAUUCUGCUUCUUCCCUUUACUUUCAUCAUAUGAAUUUCCUCAUGUCAUAAGAAAUUUUUUCUAAGCAUCAUCUGUAAUAGCUAUAAAACACUGCACUGAGCCAGCAAACCAUGUAACCAAUGUACUAAAAUAGUCACUUAUACUUACCUCCAAUUUAUACUGUUACAACCAAUGUAGUAAGCGCAUCUUCGUAUGUAUAUUAUUUUUGAAUUCAGGAUUCUUUUAAGAUUCCUUCUUAUUGUGUAAUCUUAUAACCAAAGAUGUUGUUUUAAAAUACUUUCCCUCCAGGAGCCGGUGAGGUAAUCAUUCAUUGUAUCUUUAUCAUCAAGUGUUAGCUUAGAAAAACAAUGCUAACUAGGUAAUAAGAAAGCAAAAUGCUUUUAUAUGAAAGGUCUCUUAGGAUGAGCAUCUUCAAAGUAAAACCUUUUUGAUCGUUAAUGUAGGUAUGCCACUACUGAAUCCCUCUUCUCAGGAGGAAAGAAUAUGCAGGCAGUCCUCACUUUGCCGGGCUCCAAAAUGUAUGAAUUUCAGUUAUCAUAUUUUGUUAAAAGAUAUCAGUAACCCAACAACAGAGUUCCAGUUUCAGUUACCACUAUAAAGUAACCAUAAAUGCAUGAAGCCCAAACUUGGCUACUAGCUCUUCAGUGCACCCAGCACUGGGUAACUGACAGAUGACCAUCAUGGUCAACGACCCGUCUUGCCACUGCUUUCAAAGUAUGUCAGUGGUCACUGUCCAUCUAUCUGUUCAUUUCGUUCAUGCAAAGACAAUAAAGUCUGCGGUUGUGUUGUCUCCCUUUCUCUAGGUGACAGCACAUGACAUUUCACAAAAUUGUACAAUCAAAAGAGGGAAUUGGUCAGCACAGAUGAAAAUGCAGCAAAGAAAUGAAAAGUGAUGACGGAGGAAGUUCAAAUCAAAUGUCAACAAAGUUCCUGGCAAAAAUCACUGACUGCUGCUUGGCAAAAAAACACAUUCACAACUCCACGUCUCUUGGAGAUGUCUCAUGACAUUGAAAGCACAAAGACUAAAAUAUCAAAAGCUGAUCUGAACUUAGAAAGGAAUAUAACAACCCAACAAAACAAAAAAGAUGCUCACUAUGGGCCCUAAGGUUUAUGAUAAAGAGAAGGCAUGCACAGUUCAAACGACUCCUCAUAAGUAUUUCACAAAGAAACAAAAUCUUUAGUUCUCAAUGUUUGUUUUAAUUUAGUGUGCUAAAUAAAUAUUAGGGUUUUUUUAUUUCCUUUUUCAUAUAAAACAAAUCGUAAGAGUUUUUCAUAGUUUGGUAACAUUUUUUAAAGAUCACAGAACAACUGUCAUUUUUUCCACUGGUUGGUAAGAUGACUACACGUUUUCAGCCUGCAUGGUAAUUUCUGCGGUCCUGCCCUACUGUGCAAAUCGAGGACUGCCUGUAUAUUCACCAACCUUGUGAAAUCUGUGAGCCUCUCUGAAGUUUAUCAACUUCCCUAUAUUCUCUGUUUACAACUAGAUGAUAUUAAAUCCAAGAGCAGGUAGUCAUGGCUGAGGUGAUACCGGCUGUCUUAGAUAAACAGGAGUCAAGACAGAGAAACAGACCCUUUCUCAGAACCCAGUGCUCUGUGGGACCCCUCUGCCUUGGCUGACUCCUGGUUCAGCCAGCUGAGGAGAGAGAGUCGUUCUCUUUCCUCCUUCAUGAGACAAACAGCAGUGACUACAACAGGGUAUGGGGGGGACUUGAUAACAUGGGCGAAUGUUGUAAUCACAGUGUUGCUGAUGUGAA